CCUACGGGUGGCUGCAGUCGAGGAUCUUCGGCAAUGGGCGCAAGCCUGACCGAGCGACGCCGCGUGUGUGAUGAAGGCCUUCGGGUUGUAAAGCACUGUCGGGGGGGAGAAAGGGGCAACCUUGAUCGACCCCCGGAGGAAGCACGGGCUAAGUUCGUGCCAGCAGCCGCGGUAAGACGAACCGUGCGAACGUUGUUCGGAAUCACUGGGCUUAAAGGGCGCGUAGGCGGGGGCACAAGUCCGGGGUGAAAUCCCACGGCUCAACCGUGGAAGUGCCUUGGAUACUGUGUUUCUUGAGGAAGGUAGGGGCGUGCGGAACUUCCGGUGGAGCGGUGAAAUGCGUAGAUAUCGGAAGGAACACCGGUGGCGAAAGCGGCGCGCUGGACCUUUACUGACGCUGAGGCGCGAAAGCCAGGGGAGCAAACGGGAUUAGAUACCCCUGUAGUC
Molecule: ribosomal RNA, 447 nt
Filed under: uncultured bacterium
Lineage: Bacteria
Description: bacterial SSU rRNA
Rfam family: Bacterial small subunit ribosomal RNA
Source: RNAcentral